UACGUAGGGUGCGAGCGUUGUCCGGAAUUAUUGGGCGUAAAGCGCGCGUAGGCGGACCUGCAAGUCGGGGGUGAAAGCCCGAGGCUCAACCUCGGAACUGCCUUCGAUACUGCGGGUCUCGAGUCCGGGAGAGGUGAGUGGAAUUCCUAGUGUAGAGGUGAAAUUCGUAGAUAUUAGGAAGAACACCAGUGGCGAAGGCGGCUCACUGGUCCGGUACUGACGCUGAGGUGCGAAAGCGUGGGGAGCAAACAGG
This 253-nucleotide ribosomal RNA is filed under the name uncultured bacterium. Its description in RNAcentral is "partial 16S ribosomal RNA". It matches the Rfam family "Bacterial small subunit ribosomal RNA", at positions 524 to 776 of the family's 1533-position model. The record is from RNAcentral.